RNAcentral lists this unclassified non-coding RNA (1010 nucleotides) under Aphidius gifuensis. RNAcentral's name for it is "hydroxymethylglutaryl-CoA lyase, mitochondrial, transcript variant X2". Lineage: Eukaryota; Metazoa; Arthropoda; Insecta; Hymenoptera; Braconidae. The record is from RNAcentral.
AAAAAAAUAGUAAUAUACAAUAGUUGCGUGUGUGUAUGUGCGUCGAGUCGGGUACAGUCGGAUAGCGUGGGGUCUAAAUAACACUAUCUCUUUUUUUUAUACAUCUAUCGCUCUCGCGUAUGGGAGUUUUGAGUGGGGACACGUGAGGGGUAACGAUUUAAUAGAAAAUCACAAACUUUAAAAAUUAAUUACGCGUAAACGGUCGGUUAAAACAAAAAAACUUAUAGGAACUACCCCCCCUAAAAUCUUAUUAUCUACAACUUUUACUUACAACAUUUUACUCUAAGUCUAACGGGAAACGCGUAAUUGACUUUUUUAUAUUUAAUUAUUUUUUUUUAACCCUUUCCUUUGUCCCUAUCAAAUUUUAAACCCCACCAUUCGAUUCGCGAACCCCGAUUACAUACCCCUAUAUUUUUUUUUUUCAAAAACUUAACAAGUUGGACAGAUUUUGAGCAGACUAAAUGCACGACUAUAAUAGGUUUUGUUACUGUUAGUAAAGUAUAUUUAUAAAGUAUACUUAUAAAUUGUAUUACUCCUUAUAACAGCAUAUGUCGAAACAUGUUUUUUAUCCUUAUUUAUUAUUAUUUAUUAGUUAAGUAAUUAUAUAUAUUUCAACGAGAUCGAAAGAGAUACGAACAUUCAUCUUCACCUCCUUUCUCAAUAGUCUUCUUGGACCAUGGUUACAAGGUUGCCUCUCUGAAGUCUGAACCCAAAGAAUUGUCCUACCUUGGGACUCACAUAAGGCCUUAAAGUCGUCAACUUUGAUAGAAAAUAUAGCAAAAAAGGCUAAGAAUAAAAAAUUCUGAAAAAUUGACAACAUAGAUAAUUAUUCCAUUUAGAAAAUAAGCCAAAAAAACGCAAGUCUACAAAAAAUUCAGAAGCUGUUUCACGUAUUUUUAGACAACGUCAGCCUACAGAUGAAAAGUUCAACAAAUUCAUGCAAUGUGCAUUCAAAAGUACCAAAAAUCGUAGGGGUGAAAAACCUAAAACAGCCGGAGCAGCAUAGAUCA